Ooceraea biroi (clonal raider ant) is the source of this 3187-nucleotide RNA transcript. RefSeq lists it as uncharacterized. The record is from RefSeq and is a predicted model, not a curated record. Lineage: Eukaryota; Metazoa; Arthropoda; Insecta; Hymenoptera; Formicidae.
UCUCGGUAAACUUCCAUACAAUCGGAAUUAAAAUAAGAAAUGACACUUGGUAUACAGUCUACACACGGGAGAUACGUACUUGCUCUUCCGACCAUUUGAACAGCUCGCACGCCUUUCCGGAAUGUGGCCACUGCCCGAAGGGAGGAGAACCAGAGCUGUUAGUUGUCACACCAAAACAAUUGUCAACCUAGAUGCGGGGGUCUCAACGGGUGUGUAUAGGGGAGGGAACUAAAUCCGUGGUCCCGAUCGAUAUGUCACGUUUUAGUAUACUCAAAAGUGUGACUUAUCUUUAUCAGAUACUCCGACCGCUUUUUGCGAUUUUCGACUUUCGAGUGCGAUUUCUCAUUGAAUAAUCGAAAAAUUUCAAUCAUGUGUAACAAUUUCUGUGCAGAAGCCGAAACAUCGCAAGAUCGCGUUGAAGACCGGAAAUCUCAAGAGAGAGAGAGAGAGAUCUCCAGCGCGAUUUCGAGCGCGGUCACGGUUGAUCUUGAUAAAUCACAAAUACGUGUUCUCGUUUUUCGCGAAAAUGCGCCGCCGUCGCUUACUGCAACGUGACCUUCGAUAGAGGGAUUUAUUAUUAAUACUGGUGUUACAACCAUUGCAUAAUUUACUUCGGUCUACUUUGGGGGCACGUCGUAACACGGAGAGAUCGGUGUGCAUCUGCACUUGGUGGACCGUCAUGUGCUCGGGAAUAUAUUAUACCUCGCAUCAAAUCGCUUUCUCAAAUGUCAGAUAUCGGUUGCAGAGUGUCGGCGUUAUUGUUGUGAUGUUGGUGAGGUGGUGUCAAAUAUGCUUGCGAAAGAGAGAGAGAGAGAGAGAGAGAUACAUAUACAUGUAAGGGGAGAAAAUGAGAUAUUUUUAGCCGGUGUGUUCGAUAAACCCUGGGCAUCGAUUAUCAUCGUCCCCUGCAAGCUGGUGUAAGCUCACAGUGAAGCUCACGUCUUCGGUGGACUUUCUUGGUUGCGUGCCGGAUUCAAUUAAUCAGCCGCAGUUAGCGACAUUGAAAAUACAAUAUAUCGCGGAAAUGGAAUUCCUCGUGCGCGCGGCCAAGAUCGAUACGUCGCGCUUAAUAACGCGCUGACGUGGAUCUUUUGCCAAGGUAUUAAAAGCGGUCCGCAGUUAGAAAUAAGAACGACGCGACAAGAACGCGCAUCGUAUCUCGUUAAACUUAACUUAAACCGGAACUUCUCUCGAGCGACGCUCGAGGCGUGCUCUGUCGAGUCUGUGCAUGUGAACUGUGCUCUAUCUUUAAAAAAUGUACUCUAUCAUUAUCUGUUUUCUUCUGUUUUUUUUAGGUGGAUGCCGAAGAUAAAAUUCGCGUACUUCGAGUAUUGACGCAAAACUUUCAAGAUGGGCAUCUGCAACCACUAUCUACCUUCGUAAGAUCGACGAUAUUGCAUGUUGGAUUAGAUCAGAGUAGCACCAAAAUUUGUUGCAGCAGCUUGAUUCCAACAACGAUUAAUUGUACAACUUAUUACAAGUAAGGGCAAAAAGACGUUUCUCGAGAAAGUAUAAAUGAAAAUUAUAACAUUAAUUCCACGUGCAAUUGUAACAUUGAUUCUAUGAUACAUAAUACAUAAUACAUGAUACAUAAUACAUUUAAGAAAACGACCUUCGCGAGAAACGUUCGAUCAAUGCAAAGACAAUGCAUACCUUUAUAUAAGAAAAAUAUACAAGGUGACUCAAAAUAGUAAUUAAUCAAUUCCGUUCAAUUUUGCAGAUACAAGAGGCAAAUGUACGUGAAAUAUACAGUAUUGGGCAACCUUGUAUACCAAACAACACCCCAGCUCCAAACUGCCGCGAUCAUCGCAGCGAGCAGUCCAAAAAAGAAACUGAGCAAGUGAGCGCGAUAAUUUGAGACUGGGGAUGAAUGAGUUAUCAAUAAAAAUCCACGUAAGCACACUGAACGACAGAACGAAUAAUCGUUAGACAGCAAGCCUGAAACAUGAUACGAGCGUACCCGCCGACUGGUGUUACGUGGCAACCACUUAACGUGAAGACAUUGAUUGUAUAUUACGGCUCGGCAACGUGCAAGAAUGCGUUUCUGCGCGGUAAGCGGCCAUUGUAUUGUAAUUGUAUAUACUUGUGAACGUGAAGCUGAACGUGUUACGCAUUAAGUUAAUUGAUCUGCGACACAUGAUUGUCCGCUCCGUUCAAUCUGCCGUGCUUGUUAAUCAGGACCUCUUCGGGCCCCGAAGGGGACCGAGGAAGAAGAAGAAGCGGCCAACAAUGUUAGUGCCAACGUAUGCUAAUAACGACUGUAUGCUGCUGCAUUAAGGAGGAGAGAGGGCGAUGCGCUCGAUAAACUCGCUCAUGUAAUGCCAUCAGCUCUAGCGAAAGCCCAACGAUAAACAAUACGAGUAUCGAACGGAUCCAAGGGGGGUCCACGUACGAAUUCCGGCAUGGCAUUAGUCACAACGUAUGGAUUACAUCCAAUCACAAUGACGGGUAAUACCCGGAUACAGCCACGCAGGAUACGCAAUGCUGAAAAACAACAGAAAAUAAGCUCUCGGACGAGUAUCCAGCACUUCUCCGUCACUAGAUUUUCCAGGAAACCUAAAACCAUUGGAUUAACGCUGAUCGCGAUCAAUCAAUCGAUCGACCGCCUGCAGAUCGCGCCCGGCACUCUGCACGCUUACGAGUACCGAGAACGUUGAUUGCCCAGGGUUUAGAUGGUAUUAUGCCAUUCCUGUACAUGGACAGAGACUCGAUCGUGUGACUGAUCGAGCGCAGCAACUCAGGGGAGAACAGAGAGAGAGAGAGAGAGACUCAUCGAGUGGAUAUGGUCGUGUACGUAUGGUUGUGUGUAAUUCGAGUGUGUGGCUCGACCGCAAAACGCGGCAGUACGUCUUCCUCGCGUGUGACAUGGACGGUUUCAUCGACAGGGUGAUCUGAAUGUACCUCCCUUUUUUUUUAUUGUGCCCCUGUACGACAUCGGUACGAGGCGGAGGAUGCCACUUCUGUCAUAAGCGCGUCAUCAGCUGAUCCGAACUUCGCGACUCGGAAAAACGAAAGAAAACGCCGACGCGAUCGGCGAGAGUUCUCAUCGACAACAUAGCUGGUACGUUGAGAGAGAAAGAGAGAAAGAGAAAGAAAAAGAGUGAGAAAAAAUGAGGGGAGAGAGCUGGCACACGAUUGAAGAGAAUAGAAUUUCGGAAAGAAGGGUGACUUCGCGGAGACAGCAAAA